GACAGAGGCCUCAAGCGUUAGGCGGAAUCACUGGGCUUAAAGCGUGUGUAGGCGGACGCCUAAGUACCUUGUGAAAUCCCACGGCUCACCCGUGGAACGGCUGGGUAUACUGGGCGUCUUGGGCCAACUAGGGGCAACUGGAACAAGCGGUGGAGCGGUGAAAUGCGUAGAUAUCGGGAGGAACAUCUGUGGCGAAGGCAGCUCGCUGGCCUAAAACUGACGCUGAGGCGCGAAAGCGUGGGGAGCAAACAGG
RNAcentral lists this ribosomal RNA (253 nucleotides) under uncultured bacterium. RNAcentral describes it as "partial 16S ribosomal RNA". It matches the Rfam family "Bacterial small subunit ribosomal RNA", at positions 524 to 776 of the family's 1533-position model. The record is from RNAcentral.